RNAcentral lists this ribosomal RNA (433 nucleotides) under uncultured bacterium. Its description in RNAcentral is "partial 16S ribosomal RNA". It matches the Rfam family "Bacterial small subunit ribosomal RNA", at positions 29 to 507 of the family's 1533-position model. The record is from RNAcentral.
AGCGAACGCUGGCGGCAGGCCUAACACAUGCAAGUCGAACGAACUCUUCGGAGUUAGUGGCGGACGGGUGAGUAACACGUGGGAACGUUCCUUUAGGUUCGGAAUAACUCAGGGAAACUUGUGCUAAUACCGAAUGUGCCCUUCGGGGGAAAGAUUUAUCGCCUUUAGAGCGGCCCGCGUCUGAUUAGCUAGUUGGUGAGGUAAAGGCUCACCAAGGCGACGAUCAGUAGCUGGUCUGAGAGGAUGAUCAGCCACAUUGGGACUGAGACACGGCCCAAACUCCUACAGGAGGCAGCAGUGGGGAAUCUUGCGAAAUGGGCGAAAGCCUGACGCAGCCAUGCCGCGUGAAUGAUGAAGGUCUUAGGAUUGUAAAAUUCUUUCACCGGGGACGAUAAUGACGGUACCCGGAGAAGAAGCCCCGGCUAACUUCGUG